UCCGGAUUAGCUCAGUGGUAGAGCAGCGGACUGUUAAUCCGUUUGUCGUAGGUUCGAACCCUACAUCCGGAG
RNAcentral lists this transfer RNA (72 nucleotides) under Verrucomicrobiota bacterium. RNAcentral describes it as "Verrucomicrobia bacterium (activated sludge metagenome) tRNA-Asn". It matches the Rfam family "tRNA". Rfam says of the family: Transfer RNA (tRNA) molecules are approximately 80 nucleotides in length. The record is from RNAcentral. RNAcentral also lists the same sequence under 1 other name. Lineage: Bacteria; Pseudomonadati; Verrucomicrobiota.